AGAGUUUGAUCCUGGCUCAGAGCGAACGCUGGCGGCGUACUUAACACAUGCAAGUCGUACGAGGAUCGUCGGGUUAGCAAUAAUUCGGCGGUUCGAGUGGCGCACGGGUGAGUAACACGUGGGUAACCCACCCUUGAGACCGGGAUACCCUCUCGAAAGGGAGGCUAAUACUGGAUACGUUCCCUGGGACGCAAGAUCUGGGGAGGAGAGGUGGCGAAAGCUGCCGCUCUUGGAGGGGCUCGCGGCCUAUCAGCUAGUUGGUGAGGUAACGGCUCACCAAGGCUAUGACGGGUAGCUGGUCUGAGAGGACGACCAGCCACACGGGAACUGAGACACGGUCCCGACUCCUACGGGAGGCAGCAGUGGGGAAUUUUCCGCAAUGGGCGAAAGCCUGACGGAGUGACGCCGCGUGGGGGACGAAGGCCUUCGGGUCGUAAACCCCUGUCAGAGGGAAAGAAGGGUGUCGGCGUGAAUAGCGUCGGCAUUUGACGGUACCUUCAGAGGAAGCCCCGGCCAACUCUGUGCCAGCAGCCGCGGUAAGACAGAGGGGGCAAGCGUUGCUCGGAAUCACUGGGCGUAAAGGGCGCGUAGGCGGGAUGGCAAGUCGGUCGUGAAAUCCUUCGGCUCAACCGAAGAACGUCGGCCGAUACUGCCGUUCUUGAGGGAUGCAGAGGAGAUUGGAAUUCCCGGUGUAGCGGUGAAAUGUGUAGAGAUCGGGAGGAACACCGGUGGCGAAGGCGGGUCUCUGGGCAUCUCCUGACGCUGAGGCGCGAAAGCGUGGGGAGCAAACGGGAUUAGAUACCCUAGUAGUCC
Molecule: ribosomal RNA, 813 nt
Filed under: uncultured bacterium
Lineage: Bacteria
Description: bacterial SSU rRNA
Rfam family: Bacterial small subunit ribosomal RNA
Source: RNAcentral